AGUGAGAUGGCUGGGUCAAAUGGUGGUUCUAUUCAAAUUUUCUGAGGAAUCUCCAGACUGUUUUUCAGAGUGGUUGUACUAAUUUGCAGUCCGACCAGCAAU
This 102-nucleotide microRNA precursor is filed under the name Marmota monax (woodchuck). Lineage: Eukaryota; Metazoa; Chordata; Mammalia; Rodentia; Sciuridae. The record is from RNAcentral.